Molecule: long non-coding RNA, 527 nt
Filed under: Carica papaya (papaya)
Lineage: Eukaryota; Viridiplantae; Streptophyta; Magnoliopsida; Brassicales; Caricaceae
Description: long non-coding RNA (CPAP_LNC004911)
Source: RNAcentral
CACUCGCAUUGGUUCCUGCGAUAAAACAACCCUACGGCCUCGGGGGGCCGAAAAUUUACGGAAAACCGAAGCUUACCGGCGGCGGUGCUCUCGGGUGCGGUGGCUCUCCGGUGAAGUUCGUGUUUUGGUGAUUCGGCUCUGAUCAACCUGUAGAGAAAAGAAUGGUGAUCACGGUGAUAUAAAAAUUGCAUUUAACGGAGGCCGGGAAGGGCCUCAUCGGAGGCAAAAACCGAGGAGGGGCGCGGCGGCGCCGCUGGCUUUCGGCCGUGUUUUUCGGCCGUUUGGCCGGGAUUUUGGCUCUGAUUUGGCCACUGGGGAAAUCAGCGUGGAAAAACGAGUCGGGGGUAUGAAAUUUACCUCGAUCGGCGGUCGGAAAUCCCUCCGAUGCGGCGGCGGGUGGCGGCGGCCGGCUUCUGGUUCGUCUUCUCCGGCGAGGGCAGGCGGCUAGGGUUUGGGGUCUGGUGUGGGGGUCUUAUUUAUACCCUUUUACCUUUUGAUCUCAGCCGUCCAUUUUGAUUUAAUCUGGG